UGCAUAGAAUACAUCCUCCCUUCAGUUGGCUUGGGUCAACUUAGGUCAUGGGCCACCUGGCUGAUAGCAGUUUCCACAGAAAUGCUUCAAGAUGGAAUCUCUGGACACUCCAAGGGUUGAUCCUCUCAUGGAAGACCAGUGGGGAGGAGGCUGCGGGAAAGGUCAGGCACUGUGCACUUCCCUGACAGCUGCAAAUGGUUGUUUCCAAGCCCACUGGUCACUACAAAUAAGAAUUUCUGGUUUUUCCUGUUGGAGCCCAAGGAGCAAGGGCAGAAUGAAGAACAUGAUGUUUCCUACCGACAGUUACUCAUGACGUCUCCAUCCAGGACUGAGGGGGGCAUCCUUCUCCAUCUAGGACUGGGGGCAUCCUUCUCCAUCCAGUAUUGGGGGUCAUCCUCCUCCAUCCAGGACCUGAGGGGUGUCCUUUUCUGCGCUUCCUUGGAUGGCAGUCUUUCCCUUCAUGUUUAUAGUGACUUACCAUUAAAUCACUGUGCCGUUUUUUCCUAAAAUAUAUGGGGC
Long non-coding RNA from Homo sapiens (human), 519 nucleotides. Ensembl annotates it as prostate enriched lncRNA. Its record names the gene PSLNR. The record is from Ensembl. NCBI's taxonomy places the organism in Eukaryota, Metazoa, Chordata, Mammalia, Primates, Hominidae.